CGAAGGGCUUGACUGUCUCCUCUUUCAAGUCAAUGAAAUUGAUCUCCCCGUGCAGAAGCGGGGAUACACUCAUAAGACGAGAAGACCCUAUGGAGCUUUAGACACUAAAGCAGAUCAGCAUUAAUACCCCAGAUAUAGGGCACGAAUAAACUGAACACUACCCUAAUGUCUUAGGUUGGGGCGACCGCGGAGAAAUAAAAAACCCCCGCAAGGACCGAAUGUAUUACAUU
This 230-nucleotide ribosomal RNA is filed under the name Epinephelus faveatus (barred-chest grouper). RNAcentral's name for it is "partial 16S ribosomal RNA". The record is from RNAcentral. Lineage: Eukaryota; Metazoa; Chordata; Actinopteri; Perciformes; Serranidae.